RNAcentral lists this ribosomal RNA (541 nucleotides) under Dothiorella sarmentorum. RNAcentral's name for it is "partial large subunit ribosomal RNA". It matches the Rfam family "Eukaryotic large subunit ribosomal RNA", at positions 95 to 651 of the family's 3401-position model. Lineage: Eukaryota; Fungi; Ascomycota; Dothideomycetes; Botryosphaeriales; Botryosphaeriaceae. The record is from RNAcentral. RNAcentral also lists the same sequence under 1 other name.
GAAGCGGCAAUAGCUCAAAUUUGAAAGCUGGCCCCUUUGGGGUCCGCGUUGUAAUUUGUAGAGGAUGAUUCGGCGAGGGCUCCCGUCUAAGUCCCCUGGAACGGGGCGUCAUAGAGGGUGAGAAUCCCGUAUGUGAUGGGUUGCCUUAGCCAUGUGAAUCUCCUUCGACGAGUCGAGUUGUUUGGGAAUGCAGCUCUAAAUGGGAGGUAAAUUUCUUCUAAAGCUAAAUACCGGCCAGAGACCGAUAGCGCACAAGUAGAGUGAUCGAAAGAUGAAAAGCACUUUGGAAAGAGAGUUAAAAAGUACGUGAAAUUGUUGAAAGGGAAGCGCUUGCAGCCAGACUUGUCCGCAGUUGCUCAGCCGGUCUCCUGACCGGCGUACUCUUCUGCGGCCAGGCCAGCAUCAGUUCGGGCGGUCGGAUAAAGACCUCGGGAAUGUAGCUCCUCUCGGGGAGUGUUAUAGCCCGGGGUGGAAUGCGGCCAGCCUGGACUGAGGAUCUCGCUUCGGCUAGGAUGCUGGCGUAAUGGCUGUAAGCGGCCCG